This 613-nucleotide ribosomal RNA is filed under the name Aphanothece gelatinosa. RNAcentral's name for it is "partial 16S ribosomal RNA". It matches the Rfam family "Bacterial small subunit ribosomal RNA", at positions 123 to 793 of the family's 1533-position model. Lineage: Bacteria; Bacillati; Cyanobacteriota; Cyanophyceae; Chroococcales; Aphanothecaceae. The record is from RNAcentral.
CAUCUGCCUUAGGUCGGGGACAACAGUUGGAAACGACUGCUAAUACCGGAUGAGCUGAUAAGUUAAAGAUUUAUCGCCUAGGGAAUAGCUCGCGGCUGAUUAGCUAGUUGGUGAUGUAAGAGAUCACCAAGGCAACGAUCAGUAUCUGGUCUGAGACGAUGACCACCCCCUCUGGGACUGAGACCCGGCCCCUACUCCUACGGGAGGCAGCAGUGGGGAAUUUUCCGCAAUGGGCGAAAGCCUGACGGAGCAAUACCGCGUGAGGGAGGAAGGCUCUUGGGUUGUAAACCUCAAAACUCAGGGAAGAAGAAAGUGACGGUACCUGAUAUAAGCAUCGGCUAACUCCGUGCCAGCAGCCGCGGUAAUACGGAGGAUGCAAGCGUUAUCCGGAAUCAUUGGGCGUAAAGCGUCNGUAGGUGGCAUUUNAAGUCNGCAUUCAAAGACCGAGGCUCAACCUCGGGUAGGGUGUGGAAANUGAAAAGCUAGAGUACAGGAGGGGUACGAGGGAAUUCCUAGUGUAGCGGUGACCCGNGUAGUAGAUUNGGAAGAACAACCCCAGUGAUNGNGGUGNAUNGAGAACCCCAGUANNNAANGGGNNUAGAUACCCCAGUAU